RNAcentral lists this ribosomal RNA (254 nucleotides) under uncultured bacterium. Its description in RNAcentral is "partial 16S ribosomal RNA". It matches the Rfam family "Bacterial small subunit ribosomal RNA", at positions 524 to 776 of the family's 1533-position model. The record is from RNAcentral.
UACGUAAGGGCCAAGCGUUGUCCGGAUUUAUUGGGCGUAAAGAGCUCGUAGGCGGUUGGGUAAGUCGGGUGUGAAAACUCCAGGCUCAACUUGGAGAUGCCACCCGAUACUGCUCUGACUUGAGUUCGGUAGGGGAGUGGGGAAUUCCUGGUGUAGCGGUGAAAUGCGCAGAUAUCAGGAGGAACACCGGUGGCGAAGGCGCCACUCUGGGCCGAAACUGACGCUGAGGAGCGAAAGCGUGGGUAGCAAACAGG